GUGGGGAAUCUUGCGCAAUGGGCGAAAGCCUGACGCAGCCAUGCCGCGUGAAUGAUGAAGGUCUUAGGAUUGUAAAAUUCUUUCACCGGGGACGAUAAUGACGGUACCCGGAGAAGAAGCCCCGGCUAACUUCGUGCCAGCAGCCGCGGUAAUACGAAGGGGGCUAGCGUUGCUCGGAAUUACUGGGCGUAAAGGGCGCGUAGGCGGACCGUUUAGUAAGAGGUGAAAGCACAGGGCUCAACCUUGGAAUUGCCUUUGAUACUGGCUGUCUUGAGUACGGGAGAGGUGAGUGGAACUCCGAGUGUAGAGGUGAAAUUCGUAGAUAUUCGGAAGAACACCAGUGGCGAAGGCGACUCACUGGCCCGUUACUGACGCUGAGGCGCGAAAGCGUGGGGAGCAAACAGGAUUAGAUACCCGUGUAGUCC
Molecule: ribosomal RNA, 425 nt
Filed under: uncultured bacterium
Lineage: Bacteria
Description: partial 16S ribosomal RNA
Rfam family: Bacterial small subunit ribosomal RNA
Source: RNAcentral